AGACAGCGGGUCCUGCUCGGCCUGAGACUGAAGGGCGCCGGGCGUCUGCGGAGGCGGGGGAAGCUCGGGGCUUCACCGGGGGGCAGCUGCCCGGGGGUCUCUCUCCCCCAGUUCUCCUGGCCCUGGAGGGAGCCAUCCGCCGCACAAAAUCCCUUCUGAACCGCGAUGCUUUUUAUAGCAGUCCUCGCACAACUGCCUCUGGACCUGCUUUUACUAGGGGGUGCGGGGACUGAGAGGGUAACUUUUCCUGUGGCACAGGAGGAAUUUGGCCCGGAGGCUGCUGGUCAUGUUACUGGAACUGUGUGGGCUGGGCCGGGGGAGCCCCAACAAGGACCUGGCCAGAACCAGGAGCAGCAGCGACAGCGCCCGCCUGGCCUCGCUCACACAGGCCGUUUACACCCCUCGGGCGUGCUCAGGCAGACCCCCAAACAAGUCUACAAUGACGCUGGCGUUCUGCCUUGCACUUGAAAUCUGAUCCACAGCAAGAAGGACCUCACCAGAUGCUGGCACCUUGAUGUUGGACUUCCCAGCCUCCAGAACUGAGGAAAUAAAUUUCUAUUCUUUAUAAAUUACCAAGUCUGUAGUAUCCUGUUACAGCAACAUGAAACAUACUAAGAUAAUCUUUCAGAGCUCAUUUCUUCUUACAGAGAUUUUAAGAAGUACUUAUUUCAAGCGUUUUCCUAUGAGAUUAUAAUGAAAUUAUCCAUGUAAUGGUACUUUGUGGCGGGCCGGGAGCUCAGCAAAUACCAGCUUUUUUCACAAGCCCACAGCUCUUGGAAAACAGAACACUAUUUAACUAAAAUGAAAUGAAAUAAGCACCUUUGUCCAAAAGCUCAUUCUCCUUUAUUUGAAAAGGAGCUCUAUUUCAGAUUAUUUUUCAGUUAGCUUUUUGAGAACUGAUCAGCUUACACAAAAAGUUCAGCCAUUGCAGGAAACCUAGGAAAUGAAGGAAUUCACAUGCUAAAAAUAAAAAGAGUUUCAGCCAAUGUUAACCUGAAUAGGUAUUAUAUUAUUUCACUUGGGUCUUUUCCUCCAA
Callithrix jacchus (white-tufted-ear marmoset) is the source of this 1036-nucleotide long non-coding RNA. RefSeq lists it as uncharacterized. Lineage: Eukaryota; Metazoa; Chordata; Mammalia; Primates; Cebidae. The record is from RefSeq and is a predicted model, not a curated record.